This 3376-nucleotide long non-coding RNA is filed under the name Marmota monax (woodchuck). Lineage: Eukaryota; Metazoa; Chordata; Mammalia; Rodentia; Sciuridae. The record is from RNAcentral.
ACCAAAUGCAAUAAAUAAAUCUUGAUUGGAUUCUGGUUCAGUUAGUUGAAAACUAUAAGUUUUUUUAGGAUAUUUGGAGAAAUUGAAUAUGGACUGGUAGUAAACUACAUUAUGGAAUCUUGAUUAAUUUUAGGAGUAUUAAUGACAUGAUGAUUAAGUAGAAGAAUGUCCUUCUUUUAUAUUAUUUAUUUAUUUAUUUUUAGUUGUCAGUGGACUUUAUUUUAUUUAUUUAUAUGUGGUGCUGAGAAUCUAACGUAAUGUCUCACACAUGCCAGGCAAGUGUUCUACUACUGAGCCACAACCCUAGUCCUGUCCUUCUUUUAUAUAUUUGUAUUUAUUUGUUUUCAGGGAUUGAACCUAGGGAUGCUUAACCAUGGAUGUAUAUCCCAGCCCUUUUUUAUUUUGAGACAGGUUCUCACUAAGUUGCUUAGGGUCUUAUUAAGUUGCUGAGGCUGGCUUUGAACUUGUGAUCCUCCUGCCUCAGCCUCCCAAGCUCCUGGGAUUACAGGCAGGUGCCACCAUGCCCAGCCAAUGUCCUUAUUUUUAGGAGUUGUAUGCCAAAGAAUUUGAUGAAAAAAUAUGGGCAACUUACUUUGAAAUAGUUCAACACAACAAAAAAAUGUGUUUUGUGUGUGUGUGUGUGUGUGUGUGUGUGUUUGCAACCAGAGUGCAAGAGAGAAUGAGAGAGACCACAAAUAAAGCAAUAUUUGUUAACAAUUGUUCUUUUUUAGGAGAGGUACUAGGGAUUGAACUCAGGGGCACCGGAACACUGAGCCACAUCCCCAGCAUUAUUUUAUUUUAUUUAGAGACAGAGUCUCACUGAGUUGCUUAGAACUCAAUGGCAGGGCUGUAUAGGUGUUUACUGAAACAUAUAUACACACAUGUGAAUGUGUGUGUGUGUGUGUGUGUGUAUGAAAAAACAUGAAAAAUAUAUUAUGAAAUUGUUCACAGUACAAAUUUAAGAGAGAAGAGCAUAUGGUGAAGAUUUCUCCCAUUCUGUAGACUCUUUCUUCACAUUAUUGUUUCCUUUGCUGAGAAGAAGAAGCUUAUGAUUUUUGUUUACUUUUUGCACUUUAGGAGCAUUGUCAAGGAAGUCAGAUCCUAGGCCAACACAGAGAAGAUUUGAGCCACAUUUUCUUCUAUUAGGCACAGGUUCUCUGUUCUAAUACCUAAGUCUUUGAUCCACUUUGAGUUAAGUUUCAUGCAGGAUGAGAUAAGGGUUUAAUUUCAAUUUUUUUACAGGUGGACUUCCAAUUUUCCCAGCACCAUUUGUGGAUUAGGUUGUCUUUUCUACAGUGAAUGUUUUUUGUGUCUUUGUCUAGUAUGAGAUAACUGUAUUUAUGUGGGUUUCUCUGUGUGUCUUCUAUUCUGUACCAUUGGUCUACAUGUCUGUUUUGUUGCCAAUACCGUACCGUUUUUGUUACUGUGGCUCUGUGGUAUAGUGUAAGGUCUGGUAUUGUGAUACCUCCUGCUUCACUCUUCUUGUUAAGGAUUGCUUUGGCUAUUCUGGGUCUCUUAUUUUUCCAAAUGAAUUUCAUGAUUGCUGUUUCUAGUUCUAUGAAGAAUGAUAGAUGGUUAAUCUCCAGGAUAUAUAAAGAACUCAAAAAAACUCAACACCAAAACAAACAAACAAACAAAACCAAAAAAACAAAAAAUGAAUAAUCCAAUCAAUAAAUGGGCUAAGGAACUGAACAGGCACUUCACAGAAGAAGAAAUACACUUGAUCAACAAAUAUAUGAAAAAAAUGUUCAACAUCUCUAGCAUUUAGAGAAAAGCAAAUCAAAACUGCUCUAAGGACUGGGGAUGUGGCUCAAAAGGUAGCGCGCUCACCUCGCAUAUGUGAGAUCCUGGGUUCCAUCCUCAGCACCACAUAAAAAAAUAAAUAAGUGAAAUAGAGGCAUGCUGUCUAUCUACAACUAAAAAAUAAAUAUUUUCUUUUUUUUUUAAAAAAAGACUACUCUAAGAUUUCAUCUCACUCCAUUCAAAAUGGCAAUUAUUAAGGAUAUAAGCAACAAUAAAUGUUGGCAAGGAUGUGGGAAAAAGGUUCACAUACAUUUCUGGUGAGACUGCAAAUUGGUGCAACCAUUAUUGGAAGCGGUAUGGAGAUUCCUCAGAAAACUUGGAAUGGAACCACCGUUUGACCCAGCUAGCCCACUCCUUGGUUUAUACCCAAAGGACUUAAAAUUUGCAUACUACAGUGAUGCGGCCACAUCACUGUUUAUAGCAGCUCAACUUCUAAUAGCUAAUCUAUGAAACCAACCUUGGUGGCCUUCAACAGAUGAAUGGACAAAAUAUGGUAUAUAUACACAAUGAAGUAUUACUUAGCCUUAAAGAAGAAUGAAAAGAUGGCAUUUGGGGCUGAGGUUGUGGCUCAGUGCCAGAACGGCUGCCUCGCACAUGUGAGGCACUGGGUUCUAUCCUCAGCACCACAUAAAAAUAAAUAGAACAAAAUAAAAAUAUUGCAUUCAUCUAUAACUAAAAUAAUUUUUUUAAAAAAAGAUGGCAUUUGCUGGUAAAUGGAUGGAGCUGGAGAAUAUCAUGCUAAGCAAAAUAAGUCAGUCCCCCCAAAUCAAAGGCUAAUGUUUUCUCUGAUAUGGGGGUGCUAUUCACAAUGAGGGGGUGCUAGGGAAGAAUAGAAUUACUUUGGAUUAGACAGAGGGGAGGGAAGGGAGGAAAGGAAGGAUAGUAGAAUGAAUCUGACAUAUUACUCUAUGUACAUAUUUGACAAUACAACCGGUGUGAUUCUAAACAACCCGAAGAAGAAGAAAUUAUAUUCCAUUUGUGUAUGAUGUGUCAAAAUGCAUUCUACUGUCAUGUAUAACAUUAGAACAAAUAAAAAAAAGAAAAGAGCAAAGUUCUGUUAAGGCCUCCAAAAGAUGAGAUGAGAUCCAUCCAUAUUAGGGAAGCCUACUGAUUUAAGUAUUAAAACUAUCACAGAAACAUCUAAGAUGUGUGACCAAAUAGCUAAGUUGACACAUACAUUCCCUAGAAUACACAUGCAGAAGCCCUAGUCACUAAAGCCAUAUAAUGCAAACAAACAUAAAAAUGUUCAAAAGUUCUUUUAAAUUUGCAGAUAAAUCUAAUUUGUGACUAGGUUUAGUGGCACACAUCCUGUAAUUCAUGCUACUCUGAUUGCUGAGGCAGAAUUCCAAAUUUGAGGCCAGCCUGAGUAACGUAGUGAGACCCUGUCACAAAAUAAAAUAAGAUGUAAGUACUGGGGAUGUAGCUCUGAUACAGUGCUCACCCAGCAUCAUAUAGGACCCGGAUUCAAUCCCUAGUACCAAAACAAAGAAAAAUCCAGUUUGUAUGUAAUAAUUUAUAUUGCAGCUAAUUGAUUUUGUUAAAUUGCAGUCACAUUUUUAAAAAUAUUUCUUAG